Molecule: non-coding RNA, 95 nt
Organism: Lasiosphaeria hispida
Lineage: Eukaryota; Fungi; Ascomycota; Sordariomycetes; Sordariales; Lasiosphaeriaceae
Source: the annotation of a GenBank genome assembly
GCCCGCUUAGCUCAGUGGCAGAGCGCUCACUAGUAUAUCUUCUGAUACAUCAUCUAAACAUGAUGAGGCCCUCAAUUCGACUCUGGAAGUGGGCU